GCUCUAAUAGUAUAAUAAAUAUUACUUUGGUCUUGUAAACCAAAAAUGAAGUUCCCAAUCUUCUUAGAGCA
RNAcentral lists this transfer RNA (71 nucleotides) under Hylopetes alboniger (particolored flying squirrel). RNAcentral describes it as "tRNA-Thr". It matches the Rfam family "tRNA". From Rfam's summary of the family: Transfer RNA (tRNA) molecules are approximately 80 nucleotides in length. Their secondary structure includes four short double-helical elements and three loops (D, anti-codon, and T loops). Further hydrogen bonds mediate the characteristic L-shaped molecular structure. tRNAs have two regions of fundamental functional importance: the anti-codon, which is responsible for specific mRNA codon recognition, and the 3' end, to which the tRNAs corresponding amino acid is attached (by aminoacyl-tRNA synthetases). tRNAs cope with the degeneracy of the genetic code in two manners: having more than one tRNA (with a specific anti-codon) for a particular amino acid; and 'wobble' base-pairing, i.e. permitting non-standard base-pairing at the 3rd anti-codon position. Lineage: Eukaryota; Metazoa; Chordata; Mammalia; Rodentia; Sciuridae. The record is from RNAcentral.